Molecule: ribosomal RNA, 798 nt
Filed under: uncultured Pelagibacteraceae bacterium
Lineage: Bacteria; Pseudomonadati; Pseudomonadota; Alphaproteobacteria; Candidatus Pelagibacterales; Candidatus Pelagibacteraceae
Description: bacterial SSU rRNA
Rfam family: Bacterial small subunit ribosomal RNA
Source: RNAcentral
ACGCCUAACACAUGCAAGUCGAACGAAGUAGCAAUACUUAGUGGCAGACGGGUGAGUAACAUGUAGGUAUCUGCCCUUUGGCCUGGAAUAACACGAGGAAACUUGUGCUAAUACCGGAUAAGUCUUUACGGAGAAAGCUUUAUGCACCAUUGGAUGAGCCUGCACUUGAUUAGUUUGUUGGUGGGGUAAUGGCCUACCAAGACUGUGAUCAAUAGCUGAUUUGAGAGGAUGAUCAGCCACAUUGGGACUGAGACACGGCCCAAACUCCUACGGGAGGCAGCAGUGGGGAAUCUUGCACAAUGGAGGAAACUCUGAUGCAGCGAUGCCGCGUGAGUGAAGAAGGCCCUUGGGUUGUAAAGCUCUUUCGUCGGGGAAGAAAAUGACUGUACCCGAAUAAGAAGGUCCGGCUAACUUCGUGCCAGCAGCCGCGGUAAUACGAAGGGACCUAGCGUAGUUCGGAAUUACUGGGCUUAAAGAGUUCGUAGGUGGUUGAAAAAGUUAGUGGUGAAAUCCCAGAGCUUAACUCUGGAACUGCCAUUAAAACUUUUCAGCUAGAGUAUGAUAGAGGAAAGCAGAAUUUCUAGUGUAGAGGUGAAAUUCGUAGAUAUUAGAAAGAAUACCAAUUGCGAAGGCAGCUUUCUGGAUCAUUACUGACACUGAGGAACGAAAGCAUGGGUAGCGAAGAGGAUUAGAUACCCUCGUAGUCCAUGCCGUAAACGAUGUGUGUUAGACGUUGGAAAUUUAUUUUCAGUGUCGCAGCGAAAGCGAUAAACACACCGCCUGGGGAGUACGACCGCA